AAUGAAAGUGGGAAAAACUCAGUCUGAGCAUCUCUGUAAAUCUAUAAACAUGUGUGCCCCCCUUUUUUUAAACCUUCAUGUAUAUACAUGUAUGUAUUUUAUUUAGUCAGUGAUUUCAAACAUCAACAUGUAAAAUAUAUAUUGAGUACUUUAAAAGUGAAUAUGUAUGAUUUGUUCACCCUGAAUAUUCUGACAUACUAAUGGUGACAUCAGUUAAAAGAGUAAUUAGUUAUGUAAAAUUCAGUUUAUAUGAAUGUAAAUGGGGUAUUUAUUCUCAGUUCAUGUAAGGUAUAAUUUGCAUGUAACCCAGAGUGUAUUUAAUAUUACUAUGAUGGGUCAUUCUGUGAUUGAAUUUAAAUCAGAAAAAAUGUUUACUAAAUUUUGGUAAAAUACAUAUGGUAUCUUUUACAUUUCUGUCCUGUUUGUCUGUCAAUUGUUGCUUUACUUCCUUUGUAAAAUGAGGUUAAUUUGUGCAUCACUGAAUAUUGUAUGCUUUUUUUCAGGAUCAGCUAAGAUGUUGUUUCACUGGAUUAUUUAAUUGGGCAUAUAAUUGGAUAAUUCUGUCCUCAACCUGGAAGAUAUGUUUUAUUCCUAACCAUCUAUAAUCCAUUCUCUAUGAAGUUCAGCCUGUCUGCCCAAAUUCCUUUGGAAAUACAUAGUUAGUCAACCAACAUAGAAACAAUCAAACUUGAAGUCCUCAACCUGGAAGAUAUGUUUUAUUCCUAACCAUCUAUAAUCCAUUCUCUAUGAAGUUCAGCCUGUCUGCCCAAAUUCCUUUGGAAAUACAUAGUUAGUCAACCAACAUAGAAACAAUAAAAC
Saccostrea cuccullata (small rock oyster) is the source of this 819-nucleotide long non-coding RNA. RefSeq lists it as uncharacterized. NCBI's taxonomy places the organism in Eukaryota, Metazoa, Mollusca, Bivalvia, Ostreida, Ostreidae. The record is from RefSeq and is a predicted model, not a curated record. The transcript is spliced from 3 exons.